CAGCACUUUUUUAAUCACACUGCUUCUUGUAGCUUUUUUUGAGAAGCAAGGGGCAUCACACCAAAUCAUAGCCCAGUUUUACAGGACAAGCAAGCCCUUGGCCUGAUUUCAUCUGGAAAAUGUUACAUAUAGAGCCGUGGCUUCCAAACCUGGGCAUGGGGAUCUGAACUCUGUGUUUACAGAAAGCCCCUUGUUUGUUUGUUUUUUUGUACUGGGAAUCAAACUCAGGGCCUCACUCUUGCCAGGCAGGCGUGGUGCCCCUGACCUACAUUCUCAGCUCUGCCCCUUGUGUUAAGAACCAGUAAAACACUAAAGUAAAGCACAAAGAGGCGCGUAAGGGAUGGAGACUUUGUGUUGAGUCCAGCAGUGCUGAGAGGAUGUGACACCCAACGAUAAUAAGAUGUGCUGUGUUCCCUCUAUAUAUCACAUACGAAGGAACAGAAGAGCUGGAAGUGCAGAAGUGGGUUGUCGGGGUCAAAUUGCUUCCCAAGUCUAAACACCUGUGGAUAAUGAUGUUCAGGUUUCCAGCUGGUCAUUGGACAUUGAGUCUGGGUCUUAAGGAUGAAUUGAGGGCAAGGCUGAUGUAAGUUGGAGAGUGUGGCCUGCUUAGGGUAGAGUGUCCAUUUGAUUGGCUUUGGGAUCCAGCCUAAGGAUUGGGAGAGCACACUUCUAGCUAUGUCUGGGUGGGUCAUGUCUGGCCCCUUACCCCUUCCUCUUUGGCACCAUUCCCCUCCUCUGCUUCCCAGCUGCCAUGCCGAAGGAGCUUUUCGCCACUAUGCCCUUCCACCAAGAUCUUUCUACCUUGGAGCCAAUUGACCAUGGACUGAAUCCUUUUAAAAUUCUCAGCAAGUCCUGGCAAAUUUAUGUUGAAAGUGGAUUCCGAAGCCAUGCACUACUCCCACUUGAUGCAAGCCACUGUCCUCUCUCACCAGUCUCCUGCCAGCCCCAUGGCUUCUGUCCUUGCUGCUUUCCACUCAGCUCUCUGUGGAGUGGAGCGGGGAUCACUGUGAAAUGCUGACCUCAGUCUGAUAGCCUCAGGUGACCGGCAGGAUGAACCCAAGCUUCUGAAGCCCUACCAGACCUUUUUGGUCCCUGCCUACCUCACCGACCAUGCUGAAGCCCCUUCCCCCUUCAUCUUCUGAUUCCCAAACCCAUCAAACCCACGCCACCCUCAGGCCUUGGGCUUUGCUGUUGCCUCUGCCUAAUGUGCUGUUCUCCAUGACCUGGCAUGACCAUUUUCCUCUCUCUCGGCCCGGGCUGGAUUACCACGUCCUUGAAAAGCCCGCCCUAGAGUCACUCAGACCCUCUUUAGUGCAUGGUCAUGUAAAAAUGUAUCCAAAAAGAAUUUGUCCUGAUCUUUCUCUUUCUGUUGAUAUUUGGUUUUCCCGCCAGAAUAAAAGCUUCAAGAGAGCAAGAUUCUUGUCUG
RNAcentral lists this long non-coding RNA (1426 nucleotides) under Heterocephalus glaber (naked mole-rat). RNAcentral describes it as "lncRNA (ENSHGLG00000048853.1)". The record is from RNAcentral. Lineage: Eukaryota; Metazoa; Chordata; Mammalia; Rodentia; Bathyergidae.